AUACGGAGGGUGCGAGCGUUAAUCGGAAUUACUGGGCGUAAAGCGCGCGUAGGCGGCUUGGUCAGUCGGAUGUGAAAGCCCCGGGCUUAACCUGGGAACUGCAUUCGAUACUGCCAGGCUAGAGUAUGGUAGAGGGAAGCGGAAUUUCCGGUGUAGCGGUGAAAUGCGUAGAUAUCGGAAGGAACACCAGUGGCGAAGGCGGCUUCCUGGACCAAUACUGACGCUGAGGUGCGAAAGCGUGGGGAGCAAACAGGAUUAGAAACCCAGUAGUCC
Molecule: ribosomal RNA, 273 nt
Filed under: uncultured bacterium
Lineage: Bacteria
Description: partial 16S ribosomal RNA
Rfam family: Bacterial small subunit ribosomal RNA
Source: RNAcentral